AUGGACGCCGAGAAGAGGUUGGGAGAGAGUGGAGGCCCUGGGAAGAAGAUGAUGCCAUUGCCCAUCAGCAGGACGGUGGCACCUAUCGGCAGUCUAGAGCAAUCGUCGGCUGCAGCGGUGAGCGCGGCCGCACAUAUCCGUGAGGAACAAGCAGGCGUGAAAUGGAGGAUGGCAAAGCUCGUCCACGGUAUUGGAGCUGUCGACCGGCAUGGUGAAUCCGCAAGCCCCGGGGUGGACAUAAAGUGGAUGCAUGCCGUUGAUCAUCCACUGAGGCAUCAAGAUGAGCAACAUCCUGAUGGACAAGCAGCUGCGAUCAAAGGUUUCAGACUUCGGGCUGUCGAAGCAUGGUCACAGAGGAGUCCCACGCCAAAACCAAUAUCUGUGGCAUGCUGGCUGAUUUCUGGUAUGCCAUGGAGAUAUAUUUUAGUGUUGCUCAUGCUGUUGAUUUGGUGUGGUAUGUCUUAUCUAUCCAUGUGCUGCUUUGAAUGA
RNAcentral lists this ribosomal RNA (489 nucleotides) under Triticum aestivum (bread wheat). Its description in RNAcentral is "partial small subunit ribosomal RNA". Lineage: Eukaryota; Viridiplantae; Streptophyta; Magnoliopsida; Poales; Poaceae. The record is from RNAcentral.